GAUAAUCAAUAAAGUACAGAUUGUUUUGUGAUUACUGUAUAUUUAAGGUAUAUCAAUGUUGAGAGUGUGGGCUCAAGGGUUAAUUUGUUUAUCUCAUUAAGUCAUUACACUAAUGUCCAGUCAGGUACCGCCCUCCUCUGCUGCAACCGCUACACUCAAACACACAUACACAUUCACACAGGGCCAAAAACAGCUGGGUCAAGCAAAAUGGCCACACCCCUGUUUGCUCCACAUAGCAAACAUGCCUCAAAGACCCCUGACAGUUGAUUUUGCAUUCUGUGCUAACCUCCUGAUUCAGAGGCGGCUCUUGCGAGGAUCUAAAAUAAAGGCUGCACAGCGCAAGGCUGACUUCUGCUGCUCCAUAAUGAUAUUUCCAUCUUUCGCUUUCCCCAAGGCCCAACAUGAGCACAGUAGCUCUGAAGUCUGGAGUUAGUGACCCACAGCAACGCAUGCAUUAGUAACGAGAGCCAGUGUGACCUGGACAACCAACAUGGCAAAUGAGGACACGUCCGUGUAAAAAGUCAAUGAAUUGCAGAGGUCGCGGGGCAUGCUGGAGCCUAACCCAGCCGUCUUCGGGCAGUAGGCGGGGGACACCCUGAACCGGUUGCCAGCCUCAACCACCGGGCCACUGGUUGUGUGUGGUCCAUUUCAACCCUGGAUGUUUCCCUCAACAUUUUCAGCUCAAGACCCCAAAUUAUAACAACAUUUGCUUCCUCCCUGGGACCCAAACCAGAUUAACUGCUAUUAUCUAUUGCCACAACAUACUUAAAUAUAAUACAUAAAGUGUCAGAUAUAAGGAUUUA
Molecule: long non-coding RNA, 803 nt
Organism: Hippocampus zosterae (dwarf seahorse)
Lineage: Eukaryota; Metazoa; Chordata; Actinopteri; Syngnathiformes; Syngnathidae
Exons: 3
Source: RefSeq, a predicted model, not a curated record